This 497-nucleotide ribosomal RNA is filed under the name uncultured bacterium. RNAcentral's name for it is "partial 16S ribosomal RNA". It matches the Rfam family "Bacterial small subunit ribosomal RNA", at positions 28 to 507 of the family's 1533-position model. The record is from RNAcentral.
GACGAACGCUGGCGGCGUGCCUAAUACAUGCAAGUUGAGCGCUGAAGGUUGGUACUUGUACCAACUGGAUGAGCAGCGAACGGGUGAGUAACGCGUGGGGAAUCUGCCUUUGAGCGGGGGACAACAUUUGGAAACGAAUGCUAAUACCGCAUAAAAACUUUAAACACAAGUUUUAAGUUUGAAAGAUGCAAUUGCAUCACUCAAAGAUGAUCCCGCGUUGUAUUAGCUAGUUGGUGAGGUAAAGGCGCACCAAGGCGAUGAUACAUAGCCGACCUGAGAGGGUGAUCAGCCACAUUGGGACUGAGACACGGCCCAAACUCCUACGGGAGGCAGCAGUAGGGAAUCUUCGGCAAUGGACGAAAGUCUGACCGAGCAACGCCGCGAGAGUGAAGAAGGUUUUCGGAUCGUAAAACUCUGUUGGUAGAGAAGAACGUUGGUGAGAGUGGAAAGCUCAUCAAGUGACGGUAACUACCCAGAAAGGGACGGCUAACUACGUG